AGAGUUUGAUCCUGGCUCAGAACGAACGCUGGUGGUAUGCUUAACACAUGCAAGUCGAACGGAACUUUAGGAGCUUGCUCUUAAAGUUUAGUGGCAAACGGGUGAGGAAUGUAUAGGAAUCUACCUAGCAGUAAGGAAUAACCCUGGGAAACCCUGGGAAAUGCCAUAUAUUACCAUAUAUUACCGAUUUAUCGGGAAAGAUUUAUCGCUGUUAGAUGAGCCUGUAUCAGAUUAGCUAGUUGGUGGGGUAAUGGCCUACCAAGGCAAUGAUCUGUAGCUGGUCUGAGAGGAUGAUCAGCCACACUGGGACUUAGACACGGCCCAGACUCCUACGGGAGGCAGCAGUGGGGAAUAUUGGACAAUGGGCGCAAGCCUGAUCCAGCAAUACCACGUGAGUGAUGAAGGCUUUCGGGUUGUAAAACUCUUUUAGUAGGGAAGAUAAUGACGGUACCUACAGAAAAAGCACCGGCUAACUUCGUGCCAGCAGCCGCGGUAAUACGAGGGGUGCUAGCGUUGUUCGGAAUCAUUGGGCGUAAAGCGUGCGUAGGCGGCUUGAUAAGUCAGCUGUGAAAGCCCAGGGCUCAACCUUGGAAUUGCAGUUGAAACUAUUAUGGCUAGAGAAUGAAGUGGGAUAGCGGACUUCCUAGUGUAGGGGUGAAAUACGUAGAUAUUAGGAGGAACAUCGGUGGCGAAAGCGACUAUCUAUGUCAGUACUGACGCUGUUGCACGAAAGCGUGGGGAGCAAACAGGAUUAGAUACCCUGGUAGUCCACGCAGUAAACGAUGAGUGCUAGUUAUCGGGCUUUUGGGGUUCGGUGGCGAAGCUAACGCGUUAAGCACUCCGCCUGGGGAGUACGGUCGCAAGGCUAAAACUCAAAGGAAUUGACGGGGACCCGCACAAGCAGUGGAGCAUGUGGUUUAAUUCGAUGCUACGCGAAAAACCUUACCAGCUCUUGUAUCCUAAUCGCGAUUUUCAGAGAUGAAUUUCUUCAGUUCGGCUGGAUUAGUGACAGGUGUUGCAUGGCUGUCGUCAGCUCGUGUCGUGAGAUGUUAGGUUAAGUCCUUCAACGAGCGCAACCCUCAUCCUUAUUUGCCAUCAGGUUAUGCUGGGAACUAUAAGGAAACUGCCAACGACAAGUUGGAGGAAGGUGGGGACGAUGUCAAGUCAUCAUGGCCCUUAUGGGCUGGGCUACACACAUGCUACAAUGGUGACUACAGCAGGCAUGCAAAAGAGCAAUCCGGAGCUAAUCCUUCAAAAAUCAUCUCAGUUCGAAUUGAGGGCUGCAACUCGCCCUCAUGAAGUUGGAAUUGCUAGUAAUCGCGGAUCAGCACGCCACGGUGAAUACGUUCUCGGGUCUUGUACACACUGCCCGUCAAGCCAUGGGAAUUGUUUCUAUCUGAAUAUGGUGAGCUAACCUUCGGGAGGUAGCCAUACACGGUAGGGAUAGUGACUGGGGUUAAGUCGUAACAAGGUA
Molecule: ribosomal RNA, 1474 nt
Filed under: uncultured prokaryote
Description: partial 16S ribosomal RNA
Rfam family: Bacterial small subunit ribosomal RNA
Source: RNAcentral